GUCUACGGCCAUGCCACCCUGAAUAAGCCUGAUUCCAUCUGAUCUCGGAAGCUAAGCAGGGUCGGGCCUGGUUAGUACUUGGAUGGGAGACCAGGUGCUGUAGGCA
This 106-nucleotide ribosomal RNA is filed under the name Pteropus alecto (black flying fox). The record is from RNAcentral. Lineage: Eukaryota; Metazoa; Chordata; Mammalia; Chiroptera; Pteropodidae. RNAcentral also lists the same sequence under 1 other name.